CCUACCAUCUUCUCUUGUGUGAUUGCCUGUCACCGCUGUCACUCCUGAGACGCUCACUUUACAAAAAAUCGGAUUUGCUAAUGAAUCGGGUUUGUGAUUGGAUGGCCGCAGCACUGCCAAAGUCCUAUGUGCUACCCUAAUUAGAACUGUAGGGUCAAAAGUGUUUUUCUCUACGUUAUGGUACGUUUUGGAUUUUUGAGAUAUCUCAAAUGGUCCAGGAGUUAUUGUCUUAGAGAAGAACAUGGAUCUGCAAAAGACAACAGACGGUGAGGGAAUCUGCUACUGGGCAUCCCAAGACUGUGGUGGGCUAGUUGCUCUCUCCACACAGGCAUAUCGCUUUUACAUCAUUACCUCUGCAUAUGAGGAGCAGAUUAUCAGUCACUCUUCUUCUGAAUUUUAACCAUUCAUGGCUGCUUGCCCUGCAACCUCAGGACAACCUGUGAAUCCACACCAUCAGCACUGCUCAACCAUCAUUAGUCUCAGGACCACAGCCCCACAUUUCCUUCACCACAAAACCACCUUCAGGUCUGGAUUGGCUCACCUCUUCCUGGCAGUCAACCUCCCUCCUACAAGUCCCCUUACCGUCUUCUAGCCGGAUCAUCAUAUUAUCCUCUUUUUCAAUAAACUAGGUUUAUUUUUCUUCUC
Molecule: long non-coding RNA, 645 nt
Organism: Cyprinodon tularosa
Lineage: Eukaryota; Metazoa; Chordata; Actinopteri; Cyprinodontiformes; Cyprinodontidae
Exons: 3
Source: RefSeq, a predicted model, not a curated record